UACGUAGGGUGCAAGCGUUAAUCGGAAUUACUGGGCGUAAAGCGUGCGCAGGCGGUUAUAUAAGACAGAUGUGAAAUCCCCGGGCUCAACCUGGGAAUUGCGCUUGUGACUGCAAAGCUGGAGUGCGGCAGAGGGGGAUGGAAUUCCGCGUGUAGCAGUGAAAUGCGUAGAUAUGCGGAGGAACACCGAUGGCGAAGGCAAUCCCCUGGGCCUGCACUGACGCUCAUGCACGAAAGCGUGGGGAGCAAACAGG
This 253-nucleotide ribosomal RNA is filed under the name uncultured bacterium. Its description in RNAcentral is "partial 16S ribosomal RNA". It matches the Rfam family "Bacterial small subunit ribosomal RNA", at positions 524 to 776 of the family's 1533-position model. The record is from RNAcentral.